CGUGAAAUCCCUAAUCUUCUCAUGGCCAUACCCGUUCCCUUUUUAUUCACCAAGUCCUUUCUCCUAUUACCCUUUCCCCUCUCCCUUUCUCUCUUUCCUCUUCACCUAACCCUAUCAAAGGAACCCAGCUUUCCAUCUCGCUACUGGACGACGAUGUUUUAAACUCUUUCUUCACCGUUUUCUCUACUUCCCCUUCUUCUUCUGCUCUCCAAUGGCUAUCCCCGCCGUAAACGCUUAACAAAAAACACCCUUUUGUUUAUACCCAAUGCCAGUAUAUCUACGCACGUUAUGUCUUUUUAAUUUGUAACCAAGACUAUCAAGGUCCCUGAAGGCUUCGAUUAUGAGCUUUACAAUAGGAACGACAUCAACAGGAUUUUGGGUCCUAAGGAUUCUUCUAUCUCUUUCAAGGAUUCUGCUUGUAGGUGCUUUGGGUACAUGGUUUCCAAGAAGAAAUACAUCUAUACCAUUGAUGAUGACUGCUUUGUUUCUUGUGGUUCUCCUUGUAGCAUGCUGCUCAUUUGUUGUUAUUGGUGGUUUCCUGUUCUUCAACUUUAGGUGCUAUUGGUUGGGGUUUACAAGGAGCUACGUCAGGCAUGGAGGAUGCCAAAGAGCAAAUUGUACAGGAGUCCAAAAAUUCCACGCUACCAUCUCAAGAUGAGAAAAAUCCCUUCGUCCCUGGAAGAGAGAUACCUCCUGAUGCACAAGAUCAAAUACAGAGAUUUUAUCACGUUAGCAAUCGAAUUAUUAUUUAAGCUUCCUUUAUUUGCCUUCUUUUAUCAUUUUUUUCAUGUUGUUUUUAGCUUCGAAGAUUAAUUAGUUAAGAAUUUGAAACUAUUGAGCUUCGUUAAGCUGAAAUUAGUUCAUCAGGUAGUAGUUAGUUGCUACUUUUGCUAACUCUUUUGGUAACUGUUUUUUGCUCAGUACUGAAGCAAAGAGAAGAAGUGUGUAUGGAAAAUAUUCUUAUUGCUAGCUUUUUACUUCAGCAUGAGUUGUCAGAUAAUGCCAUAGCUGGCUGCAUUGAAAAUGAAGAAGAUGUUUUGUCUUUUGGGGAUGAAGAUAUGGUUUCGGUUGAUCAGGAAAAUGAAGAAUUUCAGGACUGUGAGGUUCGUGCUGAGGGACAUGAAGGAACCCCUCAUGAAGCUCUUAUUUUGGCGCUUGGCUAUUUGGGUGUGCAGGAUCUUUUUCUUAUUGAGAAUGUUUGCACAUCUCUGCGAUCUGUAGUUCAGAAUGAUCCUCUUUUAUGGAGGGAUAUUCACAUAAAUCCGCCACUGAAUGAGAAGAUUACGGAUGAUGUUCUUUUACAAAUAAUUGGUAGAGGCCAAGGUAGCUUGCAAUGCUUGAGCCUGGUUGAUUGCCAAAGGAUUACUGAUGAAGGUCUUAACCGUGCCGUUGAAAAUAAUCCAAAGCUAAUCAAGCCAUGCUUCCAAUAAUGUGUUAGAUGGGCUGAACAUGUUUGAUGGAACUGAUGGUCAUUACUUCGACACGGGGUCAAGGGGUCACCACUCGGUGUGGGAUUCUCGCCUUUUUAAUUAUGGAAGCUGGGAAGUACUGAGGUAUCUUCUUUCAAAUGCAAGAUGGUGGCUGGAGGAGUAUAAGUUUGAUGGGUACAAAUUUGAUGGUGUGACUUUAAUGAUGUACAAGAUUUCCUUGAUUAAGUAAAUGUAUUAUUUAUUUGAUUAAGAAAAUGCAUUGUAUGUUUCAUUACCUUGCAUAUGUAUUAUUUAUUUUAGUUUUGAUUCUAAAUUUUAUUUUUA
Molecule: RNA transcript, 1754 nt
Organism: Gossypium raimondii (Peruvian cotton)
Lineage: Eukaryota; Viridiplantae; Streptophyta; Magnoliopsida; Malvales; Malvaceae
Gene name: F-box protein SKIP14
Exons: 7
Source: RefSeq, a predicted model, not a curated record